This 506-nucleotide ribosomal RNA is filed under the name uncultured bacterium. RNAcentral describes it as "partial 16S ribosomal RNA". It matches the Rfam family "Bacterial small subunit ribosomal RNA", at positions 30 to 523 of the family's 1533-position model. The record is from RNAcentral.
AUUGAACGCUGGCGGCAGGCCUAACACAUGCAAGUCGAACGGUAACAGGAAUCAGCUUGCUGAUUCGCUGACGAGUGGCGGACGGGUGAGUAAUGCCUGGGAAACUGCCUGAUGGAGGGGGAUAACUACUGGAAACGGUAGCUAAUACCGCAUAACGUCGCAAGACCAAAGAGGGGGACCUUCGGGCCUCUUGCCAUCGGACGUGCCCAGAUGGGAUUAGCUAGUAGGUGGGGUAAUGGCUCACCUAGGCGACGAUCUCUUGCUGGUCUCAGAGGAUGACCAGCCACACGGGAACUGAGACACGGUCCAGACUCCUACGGGAGGCAGCAGUGGGGAAUAUUGCACAAUGGGCGCAAGCCUGAUGCAGCCAUGCCGCGUGUAUGAAGAAGGCCUUCGGGUUGUAAAGUACUUUCAGCGAGGAGGAAGGUGUUGAGGUUAAUAACCUUAGCAAUUGACGUUACUCGCAGAAGAAGCACCGGCUAACUCCGUGCCAGCCGCCGCGGUAA